RNAcentral lists this ribosomal RNA (161 nucleotides) under Penaea fruticulosa. Its description in RNAcentral is "Stylapterus fruticulosus 5.8S ribosomal RNA". It matches the Rfam family "5.8S ribosomal RNA". Rfam says of the family: 5.8S ribosomal RNA (5.8S rRNA) is a component of the large subunit of the eukaryotic ribosome. It is transcribed by RNA polymerase I as part of the 45S precursor that also contains 18S and 28S rRNA. Functionally, it is thought that 5.8S rRNA may be involved in ribosome translocation. Lineage: Eukaryota; Viridiplantae; Streptophyta; Magnoliopsida; Myrtales; Penaeaceae. The record is from RNAcentral.
AAACGACUCUCGGCAACGGAUAUCUCGGCUCUCGCAUCGAUGAAGAACGUAGCGAAAUGCGAUACUUGGUGUGAAUUGCAGAAUCCCGUGAACCAUCGAGUCUUUGAACGCAAGUUGCGCCCGAAGCCGUUCGGCCGAGGGCACGCCUGCCUGGGCGUCAC